This is a long non-coding RNA of Alligator sinensis (Chinese alligator), 239 nucleotides long. RefSeq lists it as uncharacterized. The record is from RefSeq and is a predicted model, not a curated record. NCBI's taxonomy places the organism in Eukaryota, Metazoa, Chordata, Crocodylia, Alligatoridae. The transcript is spliced from 3 exons.
GAGGAUGCUGGUUGUUGCUUCAGUAACAGAAUGGGAACCAGAUGUGGAGCAUUGAGAAGAACAUUUCUCCAGGUGGUAUUCUACAAGAAAGGAAUCAUGACUUGCAGCUUGUGAAUCAUUACAGGAUAGUUCCCAGGCUGUUGACAGAACACAUUGAAGAACAGGGCUUACAUUCAGGGAUGAAUCUACGUAGCCUUGUAAGUGCCUGGCCGGUGCAUAGCCCAAUGACCAUAUGCAGU